UUUUUUUUAAAAGAGCCUUGUUAAUUCGC
Molecule: non-coding RNA, 29 nt
Filed under: Rattus norvegicus (Norway rat)
Lineage: Eukaryota; Metazoa; Chordata; Mammalia; Rodentia; Muridae
Source: RNAcentral